Molecule: long non-coding RNA, 881 nt
Organism: Monopterus albus (swamp eel)
Lineage: Eukaryota; Metazoa; Chordata; Actinopteri; Synbranchiformes; Synbranchidae
Exons: 3
Source: RefSeq, a predicted model, not a curated record
ACACACUCACACUCACUCCUACACGCAAUUUAGAGUCACUGAUCAGCUCCAUGUCCUUGAUAAGCCGAUGUACCAGAGUCAAAUUCCUCGUGUGUCAGACACACCUGGCCAAUAAAGCUGAUUCUGACUGUGGGCGGAAACUGGAAUAUGGUAACAUCUCAAAUAUUAUGUCAUGGCUGCUUGCUGCUCUCUCUCUCUCUCCUCCUGGCAGGUAAAUGGUGGUUCAGGUGUGGCUGAAGCAGCUGCAGCUAAUCCGCUCCAGCUCCAGCUCCUAUUUUACCAAUGGCAUCUGGAUAAUAUCCCCCUUGUGCUCCACCCCAUUCACUCGAUUUAUGCCAGUAUCCACACAGGCUUGCCAGCACAGAGGCUCAACAGACCACAGCAUCCAACAGUUAGGAACUCGGCACUGACUGGGUGUGGACCCAAGAGAUAACACAAUAGCUCCAGCUGACAACUAUCCGAAGGCCAGAGAUGGUGACAAGUGGUAAAAAGGAGAAGUCUGACUGGAGAAGAGAAGCCAGCCUAAUUUUCAGAAAUCCUUUAAAAACCACAGCAAAAAGAUUAACAGACAGAUUUUCAGCAGUUGCUGCUGGAGGCUCUGUUUGGUUUUUUUCUGAAUUCCAGAGGACUGAAAAAGCCCAGAGAAGCAACCCGGGAAGACACCUUGACAAUGGCUUCUGAAAGGGAACAUAUAGAGCCGCUACCUAGAGCAGGAAGUCAACAAUGGAUGUAACUGUUCAAUAAGAUUCCUCAUUUCAGCAAGAAAUGCAUGUGUUCCUACCUAGAGGAAUCGGCACUGGAAUUGUGAUUGAAAAACCACCAACUUGAACCAACCAUCAACUCGUGAUUAGUGAGAGAUUCUUUGACUUUUAUUCAGUAAU